Long non-coding RNA from Larimichthys crocea (large yellow croaker), 1695 nucleotides. RefSeq lists it as uncharacterized. The transcript is spliced from 3 exons. The record is from RefSeq and is a predicted model, not a curated record. Lineage: Eukaryota; Metazoa; Chordata; Actinopteri; Sciaenidae.
GCUGAGAAAAACAAUGCAGGAAACAGGAAGUGAGUCAAACGUGUGUGUUUGUUUCAUGUGAGGAAGGUUUGUGGAGGAAACAGCUGACUGGUCAUCAAAGUUCAUGUCUUGUUCCAAAAUGUAUCAGAUACAUUCACGUCUUUCAGUCCCAGGAACACAGUUGUUAAUGUCAUCUUAACACUCAGAUGUGUACAGGCAGAGUGUGAUGGUGUGGACCUGCUGGAUCAUCAUCAUCAUCAUCAUCAUGAGGAACAGACAUAUUCACCUCCAGCUCCAGGGAUAUUCGAUGUGGCCGCUUCCAGGCCUACCGCAAAGCGCAGCAGCAGACACGACUUUCCGACUCCAGAGUCACCAAUCAGAAGAAGUUUGAACAGUUCUGUGGUGAGCUGACAGCACCGUGCCUCUGCUCAUGAAUGACAUGACCUCCAACCAACAGCGCGUCCCGUGCGUCAUACGUCACUGGACCGACCGCAGUGCUGAAACUUCCAAACAAACAGGAAGUAGUUCUGCUGCAACCAUCCAAGGAGCUAUAAAUAAAAGAGCAGCACGUCAGCUGCUGUGGCAGAGACACUGACAUCAAAGAUGCUUUACGAUCUGAGAGAUGUGAACAAAAUACCUGUAUCACAGUCUUUGAUCACAGGGAAUGCUGGUCCGGAGUUUCAAUCUAAGAUUUCUGAUUCAAGCACAAACCGGGGAAUUUAAACCUGCAUGACUGUGCACUGUGAGACAGGAGUGAGAGUGAACCCAAACACUGUUAAAUGAACUACUGAUCAAUUUAAAGCAUGAUCUCUGUUAACAGAUAUCUGCAAAGUGAUGCACAAUCUGUAGGAGACCGAAGGUGUUGUGGUUUCCAUCUGUAGUCUGUGUAGCGUUGACCAGAGGUGGAAGGGACAAAAUAUAACCUCCAAACCUCCAAAGUGAUUUAUUUUUUUUGUUAGGUUUCCUUCACUCAUAUGCAGCUAUCCAUUUAAAGAGAUCAUUACGGUUUCUUGUCAUGCAAUGCAGCGUGCCAACAUGCUGAUCAGUGUCUUCAAGGAAGGGAACAAGGAAACAUCUCCUCCUUCUAAGCAACAAGCUAAAAGCUGUCACACAUACCCACUUUACACUGCUUCUGAGAGACUGAUUGUCUUUGAAUGACUUCUUUAAUUUUCUCUCCUCCUGAGGAUGCUUAAUGCUCACACAUACACACUCUUUCAAAGAUAAUGGCACCCAUGCACAGAGCCACUCAAACACAAAGUGCACUGCUCCUUGUUAUUAUCCAACACACUCCAGUGAUGUGGUUGAUUAUUCCUCUAAUGCGUGCUGAGUACUUCUUCUCAUGGCUGUGUGUCAGUGUGAUAUGAUAUGACAGUUUAAUGGAGCUGUUCAUUCUCAGCUCUCUCGCACACAACUGAUUAUUUAUCACCGAUUGAGGAUUUACUGAUAUUAAUGUGAAGGCUUCUUUGGGGACUAUAACACUGAUGUCAAUAAGGAAUAUUGUAAAAGUAAAAACAGAUAUUAGUCGAGUCACACUAAUGCAGACGCAUGUAAUGGACAUUCAAUAUUCAAUAUAAUCUGUAUAUAUAACAGUGAAACCACACAGCAAAAACAUAACGUGUGAUAUUAUGUAACCUCUGAUUAGCAUAUUUUCUUGACUUCUUCGUUCAUCACGGCAGCCUGUGGUGUGAAAGGGGAACGGACACCUUCACAAUAAAA